This 328-nucleotide long non-coding RNA is filed under the name Equus asinus (donkey). RNAcentral describes it as "lncRNA (ENSEASG00005032397.1)". Lineage: Eukaryota; Metazoa; Chordata; Mammalia; Perissodactyla; Equidae. The record is from RNAcentral.
CCAUCAUAUAGGGAGAAGAACAGCCACCUAAGGUGAUCAAGUACCUUAUAGUGGAUGGCGUUACCAUAUCGUACAAACUGAGCGGACCCCAGAGACUAGGGCCAGCCAAAGAUGACAUCUUAUUCUUCCUUUGGGAAGAAUGCCAAAUAUCAACACACCGUUUUUCAGCUGCUUCAUGGUACUUUAACUCAGACUUUCAGCUGGCCUGGUUGAUCAGAAUGUGAUAGAGAAGCAUCAUUUUUAACAGCAAAAAAAGAGAAAACAUGUUCAAUGUCUGUCAUUGGGUUCUAGUUAAUUUAAUUAUGGUACAUCCAGACAAUGCUAUGCA